UCCUUUGCUCCUCAGUACUACUGAUACGCCUCGUGCAUCGCUCUGAGCACACUAAUCCACUCAAUGGAAAUGACAUAUUUCUGAUGUCAGUAAUUGCAUUGUUCAAUAUCAAGUGCAAUGAUCUCUGCAAGUAUUUCUGCUUAAAUACCAACUACUACUCUAAAAUGUCAGCAUUUUAAUUGGUUUCUGUUUAGACGACUCAUGCCAAGCGUACACAAAGUGGAUCUUGUUUCUGCACCUCACAAAAGGACCAUUCAAAACCCCAACAAAUUCAAAGCAGGUAAGAUCAAGUUCAUCACAUCUUUGCAGUUCCAGGACAGUCAAUUCUUUCUCUGCUUUUCUAAUUCAGGUAAUGCUUUCAUGUGGCUGUGAUUUUCAAGUCCAGUGGAUAAAAAUUAAAAACAAUGAGAGGCUUAUUUGUGCACUUGGAGGAGCUCAACGCUGUGCAAUUGUUUGGAAGUUUGGAUUGCCUAUUCAUGGCAAACAGCAUCUGUGCUCAAUUACACUCCAUCCAUCAGGAGGUUUUCCUGUGUGCUGUCAAGAUUUUGAUUUAGGACAGGAUACAAACUGAGAGUUUUCAGCUGUAGUAUUGGAAACCAGAGACAUAUCUGAGAUUAUCCACAUAGUCUGAAUCCCAGCCCAGAGAGGGACAGCCACAGCAGAGAGGCUCCUCCUGUCCCCUGCACCCCACGCUCCUGCUGCUCCAACACCACUGCACAUCUGAGACUCAAGCUGUAAAAAUACUGUUAUAAAGAACAGUUUUCCAAUUGAUAGAAAUAAAUGAGAUGAUCUUGUGCUUGAAUGUUAGCAUACAUUUUAAGGAAGUUAAGAGGAUUGAUUUUAUUUAAUUUCUGGAAUAAAAACUUAUCGGAGCAAAACACUGCUUCCGUAUUUAAAAUUUUAAUAUUUGCAGCCUCACAACUGCAUUAGUUUUUAAUAAAAUUGCCUUAAUCUGGCAGUAUGCUGAAAGCAAAUAGUGAUAGUGGCACAGUGGAACUAGAGUAACAAAACUGAAGGCAUUGUGAUGGACAGCAUAUAUAUUAAAUUACAUUUUUCCCCUCCAUGCAGUGAUUUAAAUAGUCAGCAGCUCUUGCAAGGAGUGUUGUGCAACAGUGAAUGAAGAACUGUUCAAAGAACCUCAUUGAACCAAAAAUCCAACACAUCUCCCUCAUCCCAGAAAAAAAACAAUAAAACAACCCAAAAGCAAACAAUGAAAAACAGAUCUGACCUUGUCUUGCUCUGAGGACUGACUGGCUUUUAAAUGGUCUGUAUGUGUUUUCCA
Non-coding RNA from Cyanistes caeruleus (blue tit), 1282 nucleotides. NCBI's taxonomy places the organism in Eukaryota, Metazoa, Chordata, Aves, Passeriformes, Paridae. The record is from RefSeq and is a predicted model, not a curated record.